CAGUUUUUCUGUUUGCUUCCCAAUUCGGUGCUAAGGAUGCUAUCUUUUGCUUUGUUAGCGUAAAUAUUGGCCCAACUUAUUUGGUCUUUUUCUUUCUUUCUUUCAUUUAUUAAAACUUCAGAUCUUUUGAUGAGACAGAAUCUGAAGAAUCAAGCAAGCUGUCCCACCAGCCCGUGUUGCUGUUCCUCGGGGAUCCAUACGUCUUGCCUGCAGCCAGCGAUUUUCCAAAUGUCGUCAUCGAAGGGGUUCUUCGUGGGGUAUUUUACUCUCACCGGCAGCCCAGGUAGAAACCCCACCUGGCUGCAAGAAGCCGAGCUAAGUGUCGACGGCAAUAGCAAGAAAGGCGAUCUCUCUACCACGUUAACUGAAACUCCAGGACACAGCAGCUCCAGCUAGUGGGAAAAGUCACAGUCCUGGCUUCCUUCAGAACAGGGACAUUUCUACUGAACGGUGCUUUUACAAUGAGAAACUGGACCAUGGCGGGGUCAGCCGAAGACUAGUUGUUGGAGAAGUGAAAGGGAGAGGCCGACGUGGGAACUCAGGAAAAGGAGGCCACGGUGGAUUCCUGGGAGCCCCGAGUGUCACGAAACAGAUCCAGCCUAUGCAUCAGUCGCUCCAUUUGUUCAUUGGAAACCAACCAUAUCCUGAGUCACGAUGACACUGAGCAGCUUCAGGGGCCCUGACACGCCCAUCCUUACACCAUGAGAUUUUUCUCAUCAGGGAUACUCCAGAAGGAGUGCAGGUACCCGAAGACUAUCCUGAAACGCACUGUGCCCGACUAGACGUCCAGUUAUACUGACAGAGAACGCAUUGAAGAAUAGAGCGCAUUCAAUUCUCCAUUACAGUGGGGUUGCUGCCCGCCUCCAGGUUAGCUUCUCGCAUCAGCCGCUUGAGGUGAAAUGGGGUGUUGGGACAAUCCUCGAGAUCCCUCUAGAAAGAAGCUGUGCCGGAAGUGUGCCCUCCGCCAUUUUUUCCUCUAGUAUUGGAAAGAGUGAGUGCUCCUCUGAGGACCUACUGAUACUCUGGCAAGGUUCCAGGGGCCAUUUCAUACAGAAAGUACAUACUUUAAAUACUAGAAUCACACUGAAAAUCACGUCCGUAGGAACUGGACGUGAGUUGACCGUGGCUGCGACAAGAACAGAUGGACUGUUUGUGGCUGGGUUUCCUCAGCGGUGUACAUUCAUGGUGUUGUCACAGGCCUUUGUGUGGUUGUUCUGACGUGUGUCGUGUACGGAAUCAUGUAAGCUAGCUGUUUGAUGCUGUCUCUCCACUGGGUGUCACACAGACAGCCAUCUUCCCCGUAGUGAUGGAGCAGAGUGUGUGUCCUUCCUCUGUGUGUGUGCUGAUGAACAGCCUACUAAUGGUUAUGAAUUUUCAUAAAUUUAAAUGUGGGAGAAAAUAAUUUACAAUUAAAAUACCAUGUCAUGAAUUUUUAUUGGAGUCUGAACUUCCAGAUUGAAAGCCUGCUGCAAACUUUUAAAGAUACAUUUUUAUGAUGGAUUGUGUAAUUACAUGUUGGAAAUAAAGUAACCAAGUGUUAUCA
RNAcentral lists this long non-coding RNA (1543 nucleotides) under Meriones unguiculatus (Mongolian gerbil). RNAcentral describes it as "lncRNA (ENSMUGG00000011852.1)". The record is from RNAcentral. Lineage: Eukaryota; Metazoa; Chordata; Mammalia; Rodentia; Muridae.